Gasterosteus aculeatus aculeatus (three-spined stickleback) is the source of this 21099-nucleotide long non-coding RNA. NCBI's taxonomy places the organism in Eukaryota, Metazoa, Chordata, Actinopteri, Perciformes, Gasterosteidae. The record is from Ensembl.
CAGCUGAAAGGUUUCUUUGAUGUGUGGGUCAUGAUAUGUCUCUUCAGCUUUUUAAUGCAACCAAAGGUUUUGUUACAUUCACAACAGAUCGAAAGUUUCUCACUUGUUCUACAUCUUGAAUCAUUAAGCUUAACAGAGCUUAGCUUGAACAAAAGCUUCAUCAUUAUUAUGAAAGUUUAAACCUGAUUGAGGAUCUCUGGUCUCAUUCAAAUCAUCGCAUCAGUUCUGGUACUGAAGGUCCAUCUGGACCUGUAUACUCUUUAAUAUAGGGGGGCUCUGGGUCGUCCUGCCACUCUUCUUUAGGCACAAACAGCUGCUGGAGGUCUGUGGAUGAUAAUAAAAUACAAAUACACAAUUAACUCAAAUAUUAAUUACCAUCCACUCAACUAGUUCAUUCUUUUAUGCCUUGACCUGGGCAUUAUGGUACAGAUGUUCAUUUCAAAGACGUUAAAACUUAUUUUGAUAGGUCGACCCCUUGAAUUUUUGAAAUAUUGUGGAAAAAACCCUUUUUUUAAAAUAAAAAUGUAAAACUAGAUCUAGACAGAUAAGAUAAAUUAUACAAAAUACAUUUCAGUUUAUUCUCAUUGUGUCCCUGAUGCCUUCUUUCUUAUACUGGGCACAACAUCAUUUAAAAUAAAGUAGUGUAGCGACCCUGUUCAGCAGUGGGUUCUGCCUAUUCACGUCAGUCAGUCAGCUGGCGGGUGGUCAAAGGACAUGGCCAGAAGUUUCGACGGAGCUACGAGGGACGCAAGGGCAUGUCUGAGAGAGUCUACGGUGAGGAUGGCUAGAGCCGCCAGCAUGAGUCCCGCACCGGAGUUUCCCGUGGUUUCUCCGGGGAAUGUAGCGUUAAACUACAAUGGCGGCGCCCGUCACUCAUGUGCAGUCCUGGCGGUGAAAACGCUGAAAUAUGACGGUAGGACGCCUUGGGAAGCUUUCCUGGCUCAAUUUGAAUUGCUGUCGCAUGCGGGGGAUUGGUCCACAGAGACUAAGGCACUACAGCUGGCGUUGUGUCUAACGGGGGAUGCGCUGUCAUGCCUGCUGCUGCUGAGCCCGGAGGAUUUGCGGUGUUACCUAGCGCUGGUGGGGGCCCCCCAGAGCGAUAUGGACAGUGUUCGCAACCGGGACUUCUUCGCAAUGAACUGACAAUUGCUGCAGAAACCGGGGGAGCCGCUGCGGGCACUGGCCAAUGAGAUUGUCACGGUGGGCGUAUUCCCACAUGCCCCCUGAAGUACAGAGCGAGUUGGCGCAGGACCAGUUCAUUAGGGCGAUUAUCCCAGCGGAGCUGUGGGUCCAGGUCCAGCUGCAGCACCCACAGUCGUUGCAGGCGGCCUUAGAGAUGGCCGUGGAGAGAGAGAAUGUGUGUGGUGCAGCUGCUGGAGACUACCAUAGAGAGGGACCACCUAUGGUGAGGGUAGCAAUGGCGGGCCCCACAGAGACCACCGUGGAUGACUGAAGUGACGGAGCUGAUUAGGGCUGUGUCACUACAACAAUCACACCGACCACGACCCGGACCCAGGGAUGCUAGCGGAUCAGGGGUCAGGGAGUGCUGUCUCUGGCGAGUGGUGGCGUACUUCAGCCGGGCAUUCAACAAGGCUCAACGUAGAUACUGUGUCACCCGCAGGGAGCUCUUGGCAGUGGUGCUGUCAAUCAGGCACUUCCGGUAUUACCUAUGUGGCCGGAACUUCACGGUGAGGAUAGACCACUCGGCCCUGCAGUGGCUCAUGUCAUUCAAAAGAGCCAGAGGGGCAGGUGGCCAGGUGGGUUGGAGGAGCUCCAGGCUAUCGACUUCAACGUGGUGCACUCGGCUGUGACACGCCACACUAAUGCUGACGCGCUCUCACGACGAACCGUGUGUCGCGGAAGGGUGCCCUCCUGUGACCGGAGAGAGACCCGCGAGCAGGAACUGCAAGAGGAGGAGGGGGACGGUGUGGCAGUUCGGCGGCUGGAGGAGGUUGGGAGCCAGGAGCGGCAGGCAGUGGACCUGUCUGAAUGGAGGCAACACCAGGGACGGGAUGUGGGCCGACAGCCGGCAGUGCAGUGGCUGGAGGCACAGCGGCGCCCCCCUUGGGAAGAGAAGGCAGUGUUCUCCAAAGCAACCAAAGGUUUGUGGUCCCAGUUUCAGUCUCUGAGCCUGAGUCAGGGCGUGCUGCAGCGGGCCUGGAAGGAGCCAGCAACAGGGGAGGAAAGGUGGCAGAUGGUGGUUCCCAAGGUCCUGCGGGUUUCGGUGCUGGAAGCCAUGCAUGGAGCUGCAGGGUCCGGACAUUUUGGGGUUUACAAAACACUGAGGCGUCUCCGCCAAGGCUUUUAUUGGGGCCAACGCAGGAGGGACGUGGAGGAUUUCUGUCGCCGCUGUGACGCCUGUGUGGCACGAAAGGGUCCCCCAAAUCGCUCCCACGCCCUGCUGCAGCAGUUCCCGGUGGGGCCUCCAUGGAAAGGGUGGCCGUGGUUGGUCCACUGCCCUUGCCGUUGGUGCUAAUGGCUUAUCGUUCUGCAGUUCAGGAGAGCUCCUCCUGUUCUCCCCCCCUGCUCAUGCUGGGAAGAAAGCUCCGCACGCCGGCAUAGAUGGCUUUUGGACGCCCUCCUGAGCCCCCAGAAACCCCCCCAGGCCCCGAGUACGCCAGGAGGCUGCAGGACCGCCUCGAAUCAGCCCAUGUUUUUGCCCGGAAACAGCAACAGAGUGCUGGUGUGAGACAAAAACGCAACUACGACAUGAGGGAAAGAGGAACGCCGUUUCGCGCGGGAGAGCUGGUCUGAGUCUGCAACCCUCAGCGUAAGAAGGGUCAGUGCCCAAAGCUGGACAAUCAUUGGACAGGUCCCUGCACAGUGUUAGAGAGGGUGGGUGAGGUUGUGUACCGGGUGCAGCUACCGCCUAAGGGCAGGAGAGUGGUGCUACACAGAGACCGGCUUGCCCCGUACCUAGGGAUCGCCUCCCCAAUGUCAACCGGGACACGAGGGACGGACUACACCCCAAUGCUACAGUACAUACUGCCCUCUUUGCCUGUUGUGUCUCCUACCACUCUAUUCUUAUAUAUAGAUGUCCUGAACAGAUUAUGAACUCAAAGGCAUUGAAUGAAGUAGCUAUUUUUGGGUGCUUCCCAUUCCUUCAGGUUCAGUAUCCAUUGACGUGUUGGCCUUCACAGCUCUUGCUGUGUACUAACAUAAUCUAACAAAUGCAUCUCUUUGGUUCAAUAAUGGUCCAUGGCGAUCGACCUGUUGAGGGCGGGGUAGUAGUAGAACUGCCAAUGAAAAACCGCAAUAUGUGAUAAACUACCACCUAUACAUUUUCUGCAUGAAUGCACGAGCGGGCAAGGUCCGCAAGUCUCUGAUCAAGGAUUUGUGGCCCCAGGAGGCCAUUCUGGACUUCCUAUUUGCAAGUGCACCUGAGGGAGAAGGCGGGUUGGAAACACCUGAAUCCCUGGACAUUCCAAGGUGUGGGGAUACCUAUAAAAUUCGCUCAUGUUAUAUGGUGUCCAUUGCUUUCAUUUGUCAUGUUCUACAAGUGUUUCAACAACUUUAAAGUUGUUAUCUGUAAAUAUUGUCAUGAAUUUGCUUCUACACAUUUGAUUGUUAUGUAAAUGUAACAUUUGGUCACAUUUUUCAGGGCGUCAGUGAUAAAAAUUCCCGGUAAUCUUCCAACACGGCCCCCAGGGGGCACCAGAAUGCUUCAACAGAUCACUUGACGAGGCACACUUUUCCUGCAAGACUUUCGUCUCCUCCUCAGAGAUCACCUCUUUGUGGUUGAUUUGAGUCUCUAUAAAGUCGUUUUGUAUUUAUUUGUAGUUUUUUUUGUUUCUAGAUGGAGUAAUUCUUGUAAUUGUGGUUGUCUUUGUUAUCAUUUGUUUCCUUUUGUCAUUCAUUUUGUCUCUCUAUGAAUUUGUUUUCUCCAUAAUCCAAGUAAGACAGCAUUGUGUAUUGCAUACUUUCCAUGGAUGGGCGAGACUGUGGGCCAGUGGGGAGCACGGUCGUCCUCCAAUCAGAGUGUUGUCGGUUAAAUCCCAGCCCCGGCUAACCUGCAUGUCGAUGUGUCCUUAGGCAAGACACUUAACCCAACAUUGCUUCUGUAGCUGCGACUACAGUGUAUGAAUGGUAGUGAUUUUGCAGGUGUUUGAUGGGCAGUUGUCACUGUGGAUGGUUCUCCUGUCAUCAGUGCAUGAAUGGGUGUGAAUGGGUGAAUGAUGUCAUGUAGUCUUUGAUUGGUCGGAAGACUAGAAAAACGCUAUACAAGUACAGUCCAUUUACCAUUACCAUGUUUUCAGAGGGAAAGACCGGCGCAACAAUCCACAAAAUGUGGAACACAAACUUCUGAUGUCCAACCAAACACCCAAUUAUUUAUGAUGCUUUACAAUACUGAAUAAGAAAUAUGAUUUAGAAAAUACAGCCUGAAAUGUAUCAGAUUGUUAGUUCCCUGCACUAUAGGGAAAAUUAAAGUCAAAUCUGCAUAAUCCUUAAAAAAUGAGUGUAUGAGGAAGUUUACCGUGCAUGUCUGUACAUUCGUCUACUUUGGUUUGGAUGUACAAUAAAGCAGAAAAGCUUGUGGAAAACCACUAUACUGAAAGCAGACAUCCCUGUGUGUGAUUACUGCAACAUAGAAUUACAGAUGAGGUCGACAGCACAUUCAGUUCAAGCAUUGACGAGUUCCAGCCAGUUGACCUUGUUGCUCACAGUCUGUUCCACGCCAUACACAGAGCUCCCAUAAUGCACGGCUAGUGAGCCAACUCGGCUGCUUUCUUUUUUUCCCUCGACUGGAGAAAACAGUACACGUGUAUCACCAAUAAGUACAGGCAAUAAUCCACCAGAGGGGGCUCUACAUGGAGGUUGAUUGAGAGACAGCCGGACUUAAUGAGACAUCACCUGACGAGCAAAGUCCAAAGGGACAAACGGACAAUACAAAACCCAGACAUACACAUGUGGCUUGUAAUUAUGUAGCAUUAACGUUUAUUCAUAGAGCACAGUUCAGAAAGUGAGACGAUUGAAAUUGCUAUAUGAAAUAAAUUAUUUUGGAGGAAACUAACUUUAGCAAAUCCAUUUAUAUUAGCCCAGCCUGCUGUGUAUGUUUAGCUGCAUCUUUUACUGUAUAUUCGUGUUGUUGCAGACUGCAACAACAGUCGGCAUUUAUACAUAGCUUUUUGGGAUUCUUAUUUACAUUGCAACUAAAUCUGCUUUAUAUAUUCAUAAAGUCAUGGAAAUCUCUUUGUACAAUAAUGGAGCUCUGAUACAGUACAGACUGGCAAGAAUUGAUUCGAGAAAUUAUUGUAGUGUUUGCAUUGUGUGUAUUUGUAUCAUCUUUACCUUUAAGGUAUUUUCAAUGUUUUUUCUUUAUUAUCAUUGCAAAUAUUCACACACAUUUGUUGUGUGUGCGUGUUUGUUGGAACAUAGUCUUGUCUAGUCUUGAACAUUUGUUGGAAUAGUCCAAUGUUUGAUUGUAGCCAACUACCCAUGCCUGCUGCCUGUCUACAUUCACUAUCAGUAAAGCUUAAAAGAGAACGGGGUUAAAUAAUAAUAUGCCCAAUCUCUCCUCAACUAAUUCAGCCUGUUAAAAAUUAGAUGAAGGCUGCUGGAGAAAUGUACCUCCAAAAGCUGAUAGGCCGUUUGCACUUCCAAAACUGGAGAACAAAGGAUGCCAACAUUUUACCGUCAUGUGGAUUAUUUUCUUUUUUUUGACAGUGUAAAAGUAAUUCAUGUUCAGCGGAUUAGACGCUUACUUAAAAGGGCGACACUUUAGCAGCUGCGGGGGUCCUUGAGGGGACCUUUUUGCGCUAUAAGCCGAUAACUUUGAUGAUAACUCUGCACCUUGGUGGACCCACUGCUCCACGCUACCAAAGAAAAGUUAAUAUAAGUAAUAUAGCCCAGAACACAAAGAUUCUAGCAAUAUUCUUAUCAUUUCUCUCCGUUAGACCUCCACCUUUUCAUCCCUAAAACCAACACCAAACUCACAAACCACAUUGUCACUUAUGAAUCAAAACUUUUCCUUACUUUUGAUUGCAAUCCAAACGUGAUACAUCCUGAUUUAAUCCAGUCUUUGAGAGGUUGCGGGUGUUUAGGGAAUCGGACUCCACUUUCACUAAGUUACGUAGUUCUGAUGCGACGGGAGAUGCAUGUUAGUGACGUCAGUCUGCAGUGGCCAAACUAUAAUUUCUCUCAAAAUGGACUACAAAGAAGCAUCUUAGGUGCCUUCGUCCAUGUGCUAUCACAGUGCAGAGUCAUGCAGACGACGUAAGACAACCAGGUUGAAAGUAUUACUUCAUUAAAUUAAGGUUGCAGCGUGAAUGAGUUAUGCUAAAGGUUAGUUACAUUAUCUGCGUUUCUCAGUCAUGAUCAUUAUUGCACAUGAACAGCCGAACGAUAUUUCACUAUUUAAAUAUUGCGGGACAAACUAUCUCCUUUCCUUUCAUAACGGAUGGUCCAGUGCUUCUUAAGCUAAAGAAGCUAAAGUAGGGAAGCAAUGAAGCUCCUUUCCUUCUCAGCAUUAGAGAAUUCAAACAGCUCUUAUCAUGGCAGCAUUUACACUACUUCCGGGUCAUUUCACUCAGUUAGGAAUCUUCCUAAGAACAUUUGACAAUUCGAAUCCAGCUAAAGGUUCAAAAUGCUUGGUUGGUCACAAAGCGUCGUGCUCUGAACCCGUCACCACGUUUUCGACUCUGAGGGGCGAUGAGAUCAGUCAGUGCACCCCAUGUGUGCCUAGCUGGAUUCCAUUGGCCCCAACGAGUCCAUAGAGGGGAGUUUAAAGUCACCUAGGAGUUUAGGAAACCAUCCCUGUAAAACUGUGAGGCUUUUGCUAAAACCUCUCUCAUUCCGUUCCACUUCACUCAGGGAUUACUUCAAUGAUUAUUUUAGCCUUCCAUCUCCAUAUUUUAGGGACAAUGACCCCUUGUUAGUAGUAUAUUCUUUUAGGCAAAAAAAAACAAAUCAUUGGAUGGCUGACCUGCCUGGUCUCCUAAAAAACAAAUUCCAAUGCAAUAAAACGGCAUUGUUUUUAUUGUUUUGAGGGAAGCAUAUUUUCUUCCACAUCUCAAUCACAAAUACGUGUUCUCGUGUGUCGUGAUUCAUUUAAAGAAGUCCUCUCAGGGAUGAGGUCAGACUGGAUGGGCAGGUCAUCCAUAGACUGUGCAAUGGCACCCAGAGGUUUCUGAGGAGGUCUAGUCCUGGCUAUGACGACACCGCCUAACUCCCAUCAGCCCAAAGUGGGUAAAAGAAGAGGAUCGUUGGUGCUGGGAAAGGCCCGGGUCAUACGGCAGUGAGAACAACUGGCGAUUAGCCACUUGGGAAGGCACCCACCUGUCACAUAAAGCAGACACACCGUCAAGUCUGCCAAACUGCCAAAGAUCUUAAUAUAAUUCAAAUGUGUGAGUUAGAUAGGGAUGGUCUGCAGUUACCACAAACAGCGAUAUUGGCAUGAGGGAAAUUUUCAUUGUGGAGAAAAAGAUCUUUUCAACACAGGACUUUGUGUUGCUUCAACCCAAGCAGCGUGCGUUUGUGUGUUUUGGGGGAAAGGCCUUUACAACAGACCCAAAAGGAGGGGGAGUGGUUUUAGAUUCUUUGCAAUACUGUUUCUUUUUUUUACUUUGAUACUUUACUUUGGAUUUUUGCAUCUACUGAACAGAUGUGACCAUAUUUGGAAUGCAGAGGAGUGACAUAGAGUUACUGUAUAUGGCUUUAAAGUAAAUUUUGUGACCGUAAAUUCCUUCUUACAAUGUUAAUAAUAAUAAUACAUUUUAUUUAUAUUGCGCUUUUCAAAAUAAUGAAAUGCUCAACACUUGAUUCUUAUUUACUGAGGGGAUAUAUCAAGUGAGAAGUAGAGUCCUUUUCUCAUAGAUUUUUGGACAUCUUGACUUCAUUUUGAAACCAGUGGAGUCGCCCUCAGAUGGCCUUUAGUUUCGUGGCUAGAAAGCCUGGCCAGAGCUGCUACACAUCUAUCAAUCAUGACCUAUUCUACAACGGGUCAGCAGGUCUGUAGAGAGAAUCAUCGGCUCCAGCCUGCCCCCCACACUGGACCUGACACCUCCAGGGUCAGGACACGUGCAGGAAAGGUCACUGCAGACCCUCCACACCAUGUUCACAACCUGUUCAGACUCCUCCCCUCUGGCAGGCACUACAGAGCUCUACACGCCAAGACCACCUGACACAGGAACAGCUUCUUCCUACAGGCCGUCUCUCUUAUGAACAAUUAACCAGUCACACUGCACCUCCAUUUGCACUUCAUUAUAUUAUACUAUUAUAUUAACGAUUAUUUAUUUAUACUUGGAUGUAUUCAUAUUUAUAUCUAUAUUGCGUAGCUCUUUAAUAUUCACCUUCACUUGUUCUACUUUAUUUGUAAGUGGAUUUAAAUUCCAUGUAUGUGUAAGCAAAACACACUAUUUAUUUUUCACAUGUAAUCUCUUUAGGAUACAUGUUUUUAUUGUGUACUCUAGGGACUUGAACUCCACUGCUGUGUUUAAUAUAUGGAUUUUCUAAUACUCAUUUGUGUGUCAGGAUGUCCUGCACCAAUGUGUGCAGAAUGCCUGUCCAGGCUUGUGUGGAUGAGUUUGUAUAGGCAGAGGUCAAACGAGUGUAACUUAAUGGGCCUCCAGGUGUGCGUAUAUGUGUGUGCGUGUGUUUUAAAGCUUGGCUGGUCUCAGAGUAUUCCUGUCCUCUAGGUGAUGUUAAAUGAACAUGUAAACUUUUUGUGUGUGUUUGUUAUCGUAUCAAACAUCAAUACUGUACAGGAGACGUGUUGUACCCACAAACUAAAACACCUACAGAGAAUUUGAGAAAAAGUGGGAUGGGAGAGUAGGGGGAGACUCUUCGAAGAAAUGGACUGGAACUUCAGGUAUGCUGGAUGCAGGCACAGGCAGGCAGAGAGAGAGGGAGCGAGGGAGCGAGAGAGAGGGGGAGAGAGGUGAAUAGAGCGCCGUGGUGCUUAUCAUCAUUAAGAAUAUCUGUACGGCCCUGCUUUCUCUGUUCUGGGGCCACGUUGUCUUUGUCCAACCUUGUGUGUUCAUCGCUGCCCUGCAUUGUUAGUUUUAAUGGCUCGUGACUUUCAGUUUGAGUUGACGUUGGAUCCCUGUCCUGCUCCCUGUCGGAUGAAUUUGCUGUGGCGCCUUGGUGCCGAGGAAAAGACCUUUCCUUCUACCUCCUUUGUCUCCUUGGUCUAUCUGUUUUACUACUCUGAUUCUCUAACUUGAUUUUCUAACACUUGGACUUGACCAAUUUGAUAGAAUUAGUUAUAAUACAGUAUAAUUUAUUCAUAAUUUUGUUCUUCCUCAUAAAUCAGUGCUAUUGGUCCUUUUUUACCUCUGCUAGUUUAAUGCCACCUGUUUCCUGAACCUUACCAAAAAACAAACAAACAUUUUUAUCAACAAUUGCUGGUCAAAAAUCCUUUUUCAUUGCUUUCAGACAAAAUGCAUUCAAUUACCACAGUUUUCAAAAUCAACUGAUAAAAACACAUUCAAAUCAGAAUGAUGACAAAUUUCAAAAAAUUCUGCAGUAAUUAUUUUAGAAAUAUAGAAAAUAGAAAGAAAAAUCAGUCCAAGCUAAUUGCAAUUUUAGCUCAAAGCUGAUCCAGGUGUCCUGCUUUACUCUCAUCACCAUGUUUCAGUAAAAGCCAAUAGCUUGGAACUGAUUUUGUUUAGAAAUAUGGAUCACAGCAGACAAUUCUGUGUCUCACUGGUCUCACUGGUCUCACUUUGAGAGGCCGGUCAAAGGGUGCAACCAAAUCUGCACUGCUCAACAGUUGCGUCAAUAGUACAAAUUUUCCAGCAAAACAAGUGAGAUGAUACAUAUUACAGUACAAUACAUAGUCUAAAUGUUGAAACCUGUUACAAUACAGUAACUGUUGUGUUUUAGGACCCAACGUUUGGCUCAGAGAGGAGGGAGAGGCUGAAACCUUUCAGAUGUGCACGAAAACAAAUUAGUUGUUUUGGAGGUUUCAUUAACUGUUUGGCCCAAAUUAAUAUUGAUAAUGAAGAAUAUGUGAAGAGGUUUAAAAGUAUGGUUUCAGCAAUGCUUUUUAGCAAUUGAAAAAAACGGAAAUCUCCCCCUGCUCGUAGCCUCAGGACACUGUUUAUUUUUCAUAUUUUUUACACAGGGCUCAGCAUGAUAGUUAAUGUUAAAAUAUGAGAGAGAAAUAGCGAUCACAAAAGGGAGGUGUGUGUCUGGGUGGGUUCUCUGCUGGUCUGGACUGUAUCAACCUCAGAAAGAGGGAGGAAGAGUGGGAGGAGCUUUGACCAAAAAGAAAAGUUCCUCAGCCAUUGAUGUGGAGCCGCUGUGUGUGUGUGUGUGAGGCAGGGGAGUAGGUCUCAGAUUGGCUGCCUUUGGAUGACGACCGAUGUUCAUUCUGGGCAGAAGAUCCGUCUCUCUCACUCCUUUUCUCCACUUUGUCUGUGUUGGACUUUUUCUCCGUCCUCUCUUCUUUUUGCUCGUUCAGUCAGACAUGUACACACCACACACUCCCAUCCCCCGUCUGUCUCCUCAGAAUGGAAAAAGCAGAUUCACCAACAGGUCAUACCAGGAAAUGAACACAAGCUGGUUUUGCUUGGUACACUGCCAUUAAACUCUAACUUCCUACAAAGUCAUUUUGGCGCUUUUGGUAACUUGGGGCAGAACAUCAAGCUCCAGACACAAGAGUGUGCAUAUAGUAUUUAUAUGGAAUUCUUGUGGUAUGUGUUGUAUCAUAUACAUGUAUAUUGUUUCUUGUUGCGGACAAGUGUAAUAAAUAAAAGGUAGAUUAACUGAUAAAAGGCUUCUGCUCACGGCUUUUUCGUCAUAAAGUUGCUUUAGCUUUUCACCAUGUCAAAAGUAACAUCUUAUUGUUAGUGGUAUUUGAGUUGUUUGAGUUGGCAAGACUCAGCAGUAGAGUAGUGUCCUUCAAUCAGAGGACCAGUGGUUCGAACCCUGGCACCGCUAGUCCAUGUCCUUGGGGAAAGACACUCAACCCCAAAUUACCUGAUGGGCCCUGUCACAAGUGUGUUCGGUAGUGUUAAAGUGCUUUGAGUGGUCGGAGGACACAUGUACAGUCCACUUACCCCAAACAGACCAACCCUGCACAUUAGGCUCCUCCUCAGUUCAGAUGAGGAAAAACGUUUCAGUCAUGAACCAAAGCAUUAGCGUGGGGGCAGACUUACACGCCUCCUCCCUCCCUCCGUUCCCACAGGGUGUGUCAGGGUCCCUCCCCCCCGAGCCAGAGAACUCCGGUGGAAUGUGCAAUGACGACCAAAUGGCUUCACAAGGUUUUAAUGUGCUUCUGUUGUGCGGGAUUGUGUCUUUAUGUCAAAUGAAUCUCCUCAGACUUUUCUUAUUCACAAAUCCAAUUUGAAGCCCGAAGCCAACAAGUGAAACAUUGAACAUAUAAACAGGCAAACAUAUGAGAAACAGAUAGAAAGACAAAGUCGCUCUGAUUUCUAACCUGAGAACUGUACAGCCAGCUGGUCCCCAAUCAGCUAACUGGAAAGGUUGAGUCGCCCGUCUUACAAGAUGUCAAAACCAGUGGUGGAAGAAGUAUCCAGAGGCUGUAAUACUGUCUAGCAACUACGUUGCCGAUCCAGGCGUUGUAGAACUCCUCACACCUCUGGUGAAAAGCGGAGGUCAGCAUAUACAGUAUAUCGUUAUGGGGUGGAAGCAGAAAAUACACGUUGCCGUCUUUCCACAGAAUGUUGUUCACCUCCUUGGAUCUCUGCAGCAGUCCGGUAGCAGCACCGGGGAUUCUGCUUGGUACUUCCACGCUCUGAGAGCUCUCAAUUUUUUAUCACACCCGCACCUGUGUUUGUAAUCUCAGCCAACCAUUUACACCAGUCACUACGAGUGACUAUGGCCGCAAUCGGCGGAGAGUCUCCAUUUGACUGGGUCACCGGAUUAAUUGAAACACCUGCUGCUACCCUGGAGCAGUCGAGACCUCAUCCGGAUUCUGUAGGCUUCUUUUGGAAUUUAGAAUCUGACAACCGAAAGUGAAACAACCCGAAAAAUGUUGUAGAAAAACGGUUUGAAUUGAAUGUUUGAAUGCUUGGUACCUGGUUUGACAGCCGGGGUGAUGUGCCACUUCUGUCGCCAACAUGCGCAAAUAUGUUUCUGAUUUUCUGAUGAUGUCGCCUGUAAAAGGGGGAUACAGGUUGGGAGAAAACAGAAGCUCCCCUGUAAGUUUUCUGUGGUGGGAGAGGGUAAUCAGCUGGAUCCACUUGGGCCUUCCAAGGUACAACAGUUGGUCCAUGCACUCGCUCUGGCUUUCUUCCAACCCCUGGCUCACAGCAUUCUUUUGCAUCUUCAACACCAUCACAGCAAACGUCUUUGCACUGCUUUCAUUGCUGAGCAACUCACUUCAUAGAUUUAGUAUUUUUGAUGUAAAGUAAAUGUUGUGUCUGUACUCCUGUCCCUUGACCCCUGAGCCAGUUUGUAGCAGUGUUGUCUCCUGCCCGAGGAUACGCUCUGAAGGCAAAACAGCAUCUUUGAGUGUUUCGUUCUGCCUCCUCUUGCUUUCCAUACAAGAAACAGGACACCUCCUUCUGUUUCAUAACUCCACCCUUUUGUUCUGAAAAGCCAUGCCCCCUGCUUUCCCCAUUGCUCUACCCUAAGCCACCAUUCUCUCUCUCUCUCUCCCCCCGACACCUCAACAUCUAUCGUGUUUUUCUCUCAGGACCAGCGUCUGCUCACAUUGGCCGAGUUAUCGAGUAUGUUAUCUCAUUCCAGUUCCACCACCAGCAAAGUAGUCCACAAGCAAGACCAGUACUAGUAGUAAUCCCAAUAGAGCACCUUGUCAGAGGAGCUUUGGUGAUCCAGGGUCUGUGUGUGUGAAUGGGAGUUCUGGUUGUAAGAGUGUAGUUUCCCAGUUUGACCACCAGGGGCCGCCAGGACAGGUGGGUCUAUCAAAGUAGAGCUAUUGAGAUCCUUUGAACCAUAAAAACUACAGCAAUCUCUUCCCACUGUCUAACAUAACCUAAUAAUUCUGCAAGAGCUUGUGUCUGUAGUUUUUACGUCACUUGAUCUCCGCCUAACACAGUGAGAUUAAAGUGCAGCUAAAUGUAUACAAUUGUGUAUUAGGAAAAGGCCUAGACUGGUUCCAGACUUUUGAAUCACCGUCUACAUCUUCCCUUUUUUUUGAUAAGCUAUUCGCAUAGGGCUGAUGGCGUGCUCACCGGCGGCCGAACCGCAGAGCCAAUUGGAGUGUCGACGGCGGGAUGAAGGAGUGUGGAUGAAAUUGAAGCAGCUGUACAGGUGGUUGUACGUUAAAGUACCAAAAUAAGAAAUCCCCUGAAAAUGUGGUUGAAAUCUCAUAUCUCUCUUUAAAUGUAUUCGUGAGUAAUUAUACAGCAACCGAAAGUAAAUCACACAAGAGUGAUGCCUAUGUUAUUGUCUAAUUGUGAGAAAGUAACAAUAACAAAAUCAACAAAAUCAACCAACAUAUCAGACAUCAUCUUGAUAUUGAAAUACGUUUUUUGGAAAUUCCUGCAUCAUGUUUGGUGUGGCGGACGUUCCGCACCUUCUUUUUCCCUGUAAUGUCUGUUCGGUACGGAUCAGACUUAAAGGCUAAGACACUUGGCAAUGGUUCAAUCAGAAGUUAAAACCUCACACACCCUUUCACCACCCAAACCACAACACCACACUGCACGAUUGUUGAACGUGACCAGUGUCCAAUAUGGGAAGCAAAUGGGAAAAGUUAAAUAUACAAUGAGGAGGUGCCCUACAAAAGUAGAAAUCACACGUUAGAGAUGAUUAUAGGGUCAUAAUAAAAGACCAGGUCCACCAGAACUGUAUUAACGUUAAAACAAUGAGGUUUACUCUCAGAAAGGAAUGAACAUCUCUAAUAGGGCAGAAGGCACAGUGAAGAUUGGGAGGACUGCCUACAGAGAAAGCAGCAGAGAGGAAACCAGGCCACAUAACUGUUACAGUGUCGGCUGUGAUGAGUAAUCCAUGGUUCUGUAUGUGUGUGUUGGUCCUCUGCAGAUCUCAUCAACUCUCACAGAUUCCAGCAGCUCGUAUGUCUUACUGCUGGUGCAGCCAAUAGGAUGCAACCUGCUUGGGUACAGCGCAAUCAUGGCUGGUCAGUUUCUGCUGUGAUUGGUGGAUAUCUGAGCUCCCGCCCAGCAGCAACUGCUGCUCCAAGGCUUCUUUUCCGACGGGUUUCUCUCAAAGUAAAAAUAUCUCGCUGCUCUUUCCACUGCAAAUCAAACCGUUUGCUCAUGAGGAAGUUUCCUUUUUUUUGUUUGACGCCACUGGCUUGUAACCAAUAAGAUGUAGAAAGAAAACAGGGCUGUCAGGUUGUGUACUUUGGUUAGAUGUUUAGCAUGUAUUUCUCUGCAUAAUAAGAUUAAUCCGAGAAGCAACCAGAGGCCCAUGGGAACUCUGGAGGAGCUGCAAAGAUCCACAGCUGAGGUGGAGAGUCUGUCUUCAGGACAACUAUUAACCAUGUACUCCACAAAUCUGGCCUUUAUGGAAGAGUGGCAAGAAGAAAGCCGCUGUGGAAAGUAAACCGUAAAAAAUCCUGUCUGGAGUUUGCCAUAAGCCAUGUGGGAGACACAGCAAACAUGUGGAAGAAGGUGGUCUGGUCAGAUGGAAACCCAACAUUGCCCAUCACCCUGAGCACACCAUCCCAACAGAGAAACAUGGUGGUGGUAGCAUCAGAGACACACGUUAGUGAUGCCAGUCUGCAGCGGCCAAACUACAAUUUCUCUGAAGAUGGAAUACAAAGAAGCAUUAUAAUGUUGGUUGAAAAAAUGAUAAUUAGAAAGACGACUAAGAAUAAAAGGGGUCAGCAUUGCUGCACUCAAUGACUAUCUACCCAGCUGUUUAGUAUACAUCCCAAUGGACCAUUUUCAAUUACCGGCCUCGAAAAUGGCAGCUUUGGAGCAUCACAACCGAGAGCAAAACAGGAGAUGUUCAGCAUGCUGCUGCGGCUGCUGCCGUAGGGUUCACUGUGCAUCGAACUCAGAGGAGGAUUCACAGCAGGGCCCGUCCACGGAGGCUCAUGGCCUUUUGAAGAGAAAUGGGAAGAUGAUGCAGAUUGAGCUGUAAUUUCACUCAAUGUCUCAAAAAAAAAGUGUAUCCGGAUGUGUCAAAAACAUACGGUUAGACUUCCGCCCGUCUGGGCAGUCUUUUGAGGCACUGCUUGCACUUCUUAGGAGGGAGAAGACCCAUAGCUGGGUCCACCACAUGGAGCUUCUGGACAAAGUGGUCCGCUUCUCCACCCUGUGCUGAAGUAGACAUCUGGCCAAUUGUCCAGCCUUUAGCCAGUGGGGGGGUCACAAGGCCCUGUACAUUGCAGCUCCCGGGGAAGUCAAAGCAAACAUUUCAGUUAACUCCUGUUCUUCCAUAGCAACUUCUGACCCACCAUUGUUUAAGCCCGGCAACCUGAGCGUGUCCUUACACAGUUUUACCAUAUUAACGAUUCUGGUGAAGGUCUUAAGAUGUUUUUUUCUACAAAUGUCCACCAAACAUGACAAUCAGUGCACCUGUCCACGCUCCUGAGGGCAACAAAACUACUUUCGGUUAAGUUUAGUAAAAGAGUGCUCAAAGCCAUACAUUUACAAAUGCUUCUUCUCCAGGCUUGGGUUUUGAAACCUGGGCCCCUGGCUACCGGCUCCCUGACAAGGAGGAAAAUGAGUCCCACCAUAAACAAAGCAGAAGGGGGGCCGCCAUUAACUUUUGUAGUGUGGAGCCCCAGAAAUCCAAUUUAAAACACCACCAUAAAACUUCAAAAACGUGCAGGUCCUAUUCAAGCAGUUCCUCGUCUUCGCCCAUAUGGAGCCAGCCCUGCUAACGGGGCUAAGUGCUAACAGAAAACAGCAGCGAGUUUAGAGGUGUGCAGAUUGGGGGUGGGGGGGGUCGUUAAUAGUGUUUGAGAGUAGCUAAUAUGGAAAGAAGGAUUAUAUAAAAAUUGCUGAGAGGGAGAGAAGAGGGACAUGUAAAGAGGAGAAGAAAGGAAAGGAAGAGGUGACUUGUGGCCCCCCCUGAUGUCAUAGUGGAAACCGCUGGAGGGGGGGCAUUUUAAAACCCCUCCAUAAACACAUUUAGCUGUUUCGGAGUUGCCAGCGCGGCAAGCUGGUAGCUGCUGAUCUUUCGGCCCGAUGUAUGUGCGUUUGUGUGUGUUCAUCAAGGUACUGCUGAGUUGCAUUUAAAGAUGGCCCUCCUCUGGCCUUGUGGUGGGGGCCGAUGCUGGACUUUGUCAUCGAGACUAUUGAGGUCAUACGGCCAGGGUUAAAAGUCUGUCCGGUUAUCAAAGCCGAACUCGUAUGGAUGAAGCCAACCUCCAUUUACAAAGGGUUUACUCAUAGCAUCUAAGAUUGUAUCUUUAUACUCUGAAUUCAAAGAUCUGAGAAUGAAGCGACACAGCUGUCUUAUAGUCUGACCGGUAAGAAACUAGUUUAGUCAGAUUACUAAAAGCGCUUUGUUUUAUGGUUUAUUUCAAAUUUGUGCGCACCUUAAAUGGAAACGUCUUUGCACACAUAACUGUUGUAAAGGUCAAAACUGGACGUUGGUCCGUAAACUUUGAUGGUUGAAAGGCUUUGGAUUAAGAGGGUUAUAAGACAGACAGUCCGUCUGUCCAAUCAGAAGGGUCCGUCCUCUGCUAUCUGCUAUAAGGCCCUACCCUUUCCGUAAAAAGUUAAUGUCGUUGUGCUUUCCUAUUUGCCGUUGUGUUUUGCACUUCAGGGCCACCGUAAGUUCGUCAUCCACGUGAAAACAAAAAGGCAACUUUGAUGUUUUUGUCAAGUCAAGUUCUAUACUUCUAAUACGGCACUUCAGUGGUUAUGUUAACACAAUCUGUUUUGUUGCCUAAAUUUAACUCAGUUCCCUGAUUCCCAAGGAUUAUUUAGAAAAAGACACAUGAAAUACGUGGAGAUGGAAAUGUAUUUUUGGCACUGCAGAAUAAAUGACAUCAUAAGAUGUCUAUUGUAUUGUUUUGGAAUUGUAUUGUAUUGGAAAGGUUCAACUGUAAGGUUCAACUAUAUAAAAUGUUGUGGAAUAUUACAAAAUAAUAAAAAAAUUAAAAAGAUUCUGGGAAAAUCAAGAAGAGUAUGAUCAGAGAGCAAAUAAAGGUACAUACAUACUGGAUUCCCAAUAGGGUGAGAGAAAUGCAUGCUGGUUUCUCUCUCUCUCUCUCUCUCUCCAUCGCUGACUUUACACAAACAGUAACAGCCCAAUAAGAGGUUUUGGUUUCAAGAAAGCAGUAAACGCACCAGGUAUCCCACCAUGCUCACCGCUUCUCUUUCUUGAUCUUUUGAUGUGUAAAAAACCCGCCGCCGCCAGCAACACCAGGCAUGGUGAGAGUGCACACGCACGUGCACACCUGAAUCAGUCCCGCUUUAAAGAGAUGCUUGGUGCUAAAAGGUACAGAACCGUGUUGUAGCAGUGAUUGAAGGAUGUGAAUAUAUCCCUCGCCACUUCUUUUUGAUGAUUAGCACACUUUCACCUUACCCAGAAUGCCUUGCAUCAACAAGCUGAAUAGAGAGCCAAAGACCCAUCUGUUCUUUGUUUUUAGUAAAAGCUUUGAUUCAAACCUUUUGUGAUGUACCAGGUCCCAAAUCACAUUUGGGAAAACCCUUUUCAUUUUUCUAUGCAACACAUAGUCAAUGUGUCAAUGUAUGGGGCAUUUGGUUUUUAAUAAAUAAUUCAUGAUUGUUGUUUGGAAAUAUAGCAAUAAUAAACUAACUAUUCCUCAAAGACAGAAGCUGUUUCUCCUGUUUUCAAUGUAACUUGCAGUUUAUUUGGUCUGAGUGAAAUUAAUUCUCGACCUUUAGGAUCCCUUCCACAUUUCUUGCUAUCAGAGUCAACAGGAGCUACUUACAGCUUAUGUAUAUUCCUUUACAGUGUAUCAUUUUGUAAUAUUGAAAUAUUAUUUAUUUUUCCAUAAGCAAAGUUGGCUUUCUGCCUCUUCCUGCACCGAAAACGUAUUAUCUUUGCUCUGCUUGUUAUAUGUAAAAAUAAAACUCAAGACAGCUGUUUUGAACCGAGUUUUAUAGAAGUUUUCUUUUAAAAGAGGAGAACCUGUGGUUGUGAUGUCAAUGGUAGCUUUGUGAAUGUCAGCUUAAACACACAGCGCCUCUCUUCUGUUCACCGUUUGACAAAAUGAAAAGGUCGGAGGCUUUUAAACGCCUUGACACACCUGCUGCCAAAGGCAAAAUAUGUUAAAAGCAGAGCGGCAAAGUAGAAUAGGAGCAAGUUACGCGUUGACCAACGGUUUUGAGUUUUUAUUCCCAUAUGUAGUGGUUGAGAGCGCAUUUCAGAAUAAAAAAAGUAUUUUCUUUGUAAUAAAAGUGAAGAACGAAAGAAAGAGACCGGCAAUCGAUGCGCACACAGGCGCAUACACAACUUGUCACGAUCGCUGAACCCAAGGACCAUCGGUUCCCCAACACACACACACACACACACACACACACACACACACACACACACACACACACUCAAAGGGAGUCUCUAAUUUGAUGUGUAUUUAUAGCGGUCUGAGUGGCCUCCAUGCCACGGUGGAUGGAGAAAAAUGUAGAGGCGUGAUUACAUGCUGCUAUUCCCGGCCUUCUCACUCCCUUCCUGUGACUAGCACACUGAAUCGUUGGAGUCUUUUAUUCUGAAAAGAUACAUGUCGUAAACUGCAUUGGUAGCAGUGAUUCAGUUACUAAUAACAUCGUUUGCAACACAAUUAGAAUGUAUGUAAGCACUUCAUUGUUACCAAUUGAAUACAGAAAGUAUAACGUGUCAUAAUUCCUACUCUUUUAUAAUUAUUUUUUGUCUUUUUUGUUAAUGUGAAGUGGUGGAGCAUGGUCGUUCUUCAAUCGGAGGAUUGGAGGUGUGUGAUUGCCGUGAAUGUUAGUUGGAGCGCCUGCAUGUUAGUGAUUUGGUAUGUAAAGGUGCUAUGCAAAAAAAGAGUAUGGACGUCCAGAUGGUGGGAGUAGAACUGGUGUUUAAAUGUUCCAGUCAAGGUGGUUGGAGCAUCUAAUUAAGAAGACUUUCCUGUCCAACUGUGUAGAAACCAAAGGACAGACCUGGAACACACUGGAGGGCAUGCAUAUCUGUCCCAUGACAUCUUCUCAUCCCUCAAAGAGGAACUGGAGGAGACAAAAAAUUGGGGACAAAAUGUUCUAAUUCAGACAAUAAUGAGCAGACUUGCUUGCAAGGUGUGUGUGGGUGUAUGUGUGUGUUUCUGUGACACCUGGCCUUGUCCAAAAUUCCAUUGGUGACCUGGUUUACAAAGAUAUCAGCGUUACAUUUAGGGAAAUCGCCACAGACACUGACAGCUACACACACACACAUAUUAUGCACAGACUCACCUCUACUGUCACCUUACAUCAUUCUUUAUCGUCUGCUAACACCCAAAAGUGAAAUUCAUCUGCUUUCUACCCUCGACUCCAGCCUUAUUGCAUAUUUUCUAUAAACAGAUAUCUGCAUUUAAGUGUCAAAUCGGUCAAAAGUAAGAUAUUCGUUUGUAGUGCGAUUAGUACCAAUCACGUUUGAGCUAGCUUUGUUCGCCUGCGUCUCUGUGGAGAGCAAUGAAAGUGAUUAUAGGCUCACUUUGAUUGAGCAUUUUGAUAACUUACAUCUGCAUGCAGGUAUCUAUUUAUAAACAUCAGUGGACAUUUUAACCCCUUUUUCUCGCUAAUCUGAAGAUGACACAUGAGAGGAAGUCUAGGUUUCCGAUAUUGUAUGUUGGAAACUUGGAAAUAUUGUCUAUUGUCCGCAGAGACUGAAUGGUCAUUCGGCCAAUAGCAGCUACAAAAAAGCUAAGAUGGCCUCCUUCAAUUUGGACAUUUUGAAACACAUGUACAAAUCAACACACACACGUAAGCACGCAGAUAAGAGUAAGUCCUCCAGUGCUCACAUUGGCCACCGUUCCAUGGUGGGAAAAAAGCAGCAGGUUUUUCAAUCAGGCAGCCAGCUGACACACACACACACACACACACACACACACACACACAAACACAUUUCUGAGUCACACACAAGCAAUUUUUCCCAGUUUAGAUACUGUUCUGUUGAAAAAGAAUUAUCAAUUCAGCAGUGCCCCCCUAUGAUAUUGUAAGACUCACAAUGGAUGGUUAUUUUGAAGACAAAAAAUGAACCGCGCUUUGUUCUUCUCCAGCUGAAUAAUGCACAAUGUAAUUGUUAUUUGUAAAAACAAUGAGCCAUAAUUUGAAUGAGGAGAUCAAAUGCUACUCGUUCUCGCCUUGACCAAAGCAGAUGUGAUCCUCUUUUCUGACAAUAAAGCGCAAGACAUAGAAAAUCAUUUUUCUGUGGGUUGUUUUAUUCCUUCGUCAAGGGUCUGAUGUGUAAAGGCCUUUUAUUCUUCUUUCAUUUUGUGUUUUUCACACUAUCAACCAAUCACAUGUAGAAUAAAAAGCAUUUGUUGAGGACUGUUUUUUGGAAUUGAUUGAUACACAUUUUUGUGUUUUAGGCACAGGGAAGUUCUAUGAAGUUCAAAGCAAACGGCAGAAGAACAUGUCAGCCAGUGCAAAGGUCGAGCUCAUAAACUGGAGCUCUACGGCACCAAAGGGAUGAGACGUAUCAUGACGUACAGUAUGUCCGUUGUUGCCUUUUGGGUUUUUGAUUUUUGGUUUUGACAAAAAAAAGUGGAAAGAAAAGGUCAGUUAUAAAAUACCAUGCAUGUGAGCUGCCCUGAGUGUCUGUGUAGUUUCACCCUUAAAGAGAGGAGAAAUCUUCUGACCCCUCAGUUAUUAUUGUCCUCUGUGUGUCUCUCGUUUUCUUCUUGUCUGCCCCGACCGUCCUUUAAUCGGGAAAACCCAACAACGCAUGAUCACAGGGCAAGGCGGUGUUGAGUGUUUGCGUGUGUGUUGGGAUUUAGGAUUGACCUUGUGACUUCUCUCCAUCUAUAAUGUGGCAGAUCCAUCUCAAGGUGGAAUGAAAAAAACAAACUACCCUUCCCUCACCUGUAAGUGUAAGUCCUCUCCUCGUCCUCAUAAACACAAAGAAACACACACACACCGUUUCCUGUGGGUGAACCUUCAAUCAUACGAAAAUAACAGGGGUGUCACGGCGAUCAUAAAACCACGUAUAUUUCUCCCCUCUGCUUCCAUAAUGUCACAUAUUACAGACCAAACGGCAUCAUGGGAAACACCUGCUUCAGAGCACACAGGUGGAGGAAGAGGGUAGGCCUGGGUGUGGGGGGGUGCAGGAGGAACUAGAGAGGGGAGG